AUGUUAAAGUAGAAGCCAUCCGCUUCUCACCUUACGGCGUUCGUCGCUAAGGUAUCUUCUGGUCCUGAGCUAAAGUGUGCUCACGAUUGUUUGGAAGACGGGUGGUAUUCAUCCGUCUUUUUUGUUUUAA
Molecule: regulatory RNA element, 130 nt
Organism: Desulfosporosinus sp. Tol-M
Lineage: Bacteria; Bacillati; Bacillota; Clostridia; Eubacteriales; Desulfitobacteriaceae
Rfam family: Ribosomal protein L20 leader
About the family: This family is a putative r-protein leader autoregulatory structure found in B. subtilis and other low-GC Gram-positive bacteria. It is located in the 5' untranslated regions of mRNAs encoding initiation factor 3 followed by ribosomal proteins L35 and L20 (infC-rpmI-rplT). A Rho-independent transcription terminator structure that is probably involved in regulation is included at the 3' end.
Source: Rfam